CCUACGGGUGGCAGCAGUGGGGAAUAUUGCACAAUGGGGGAAACCCUGAUGCAGCGACGCCGCGUGAGCGAUGACGUCUUUCGGUAUGUAAAGCUCUAUCAGCAGGGAAGAAAAUGACGGUACCUGACUACUAAUCCCCGGCUAACUACGUGCCAGCAGCCGCGGCACUACGUAGGGGGCCAGCGUUAUCCGGAUUUACUGGGUGUUAAGGGAGCGUAGACGGCGGUGCAAGCCAGCUGUGAAAGCCCGGGGCUGCACCCCGGGACUGCAGUUGAAACUGUGCUGCUAGAGUGUCGGAGAGGCAGGCGGAAUUCGUGGUGUAGCGGUGAAAUGCGUAGAUAUUAGGAGGAACACCAGUGGCGAAGGCGGCAUGCUGGACGAUGACUGACGUUGAGGCUCGAAAGCGUGGGGAGCAAACAGGAUUAGAUACCCUUGUAGUC
This 440-nucleotide ribosomal RNA is filed under the name uncultured bacterium. RNAcentral describes it as "partial 16S ribosomal RNA". It matches the Rfam family "Bacterial small subunit ribosomal RNA", at positions 338 to 795 of the family's 1533-position model. The record is from RNAcentral.